UAGGGAAUCUUCCGCAAUGGACGAAAGUCUGACGGAGCAACGCCGCGUGAGUGAAGAAGGAUUUCGGUUCGUAAAACUCUGUUGUUAGGGAAGAAAAAAUGUAUAGUAACUAUAUACAAAAGAGACGGUACCUAACCAGAAAGCCACGGCUAACUACGUGCCAGCAGCCGCGGUAAUACGUAGGUGGCAAGCGUUGUCCGGAAUUAUUGGGCGUAAAGCGCGCGCAGGUGGUUUAGAAAUUCUGAUGUGAAAGCCCACGGCUCAACCGUGGAGGGUCAUUGGAAACUAAUAAACUUGAGUGCAGGAGAGAAAAGUGGAAUUCCUCGUGUAGCGGUGAAAUGCGUAGAGAUUAGGAGGAACACCGGUGGCGAAAGCGGCUUUUUGGCCUGCAACUGACACUGAGGCGCGAAAGCGGGGGGAGCAAACAGG
This 429-nucleotide ribosomal RNA is filed under the name Verrucomicrobiota bacterium. RNAcentral's name for it is "Verrucomicrobia bacterium partial 16S ribosomal RNA". It matches the Rfam family "Bacterial small subunit ribosomal RNA", at positions 355 to 776 of the family's 1533-position model. Lineage: Bacteria; Pseudomonadati; Verrucomicrobiota. The record is from RNAcentral.